Non-coding RNA from Mycena alexandri, 97 nucleotides. The record is from the annotation of a GenBank genome assembly. Lineage: Eukaryota; Fungi; Basidiomycota; Agaricomycetes; Agaricales; Mycenaceae.
GACCUGAUGGUGUAAUUGGUUAGCACGCCUGCUCGAAGUAGUUUUGGAUGCAAAAAGACUUCUGCAGGAGCCCCCGGUUCGAAUCCGGGUCAGGUCA